This 233-nucleotide ribosomal RNA is filed under the name uncultured bacterium. RNAcentral's name for it is "partial 16S ribosomal RNA". It matches the Rfam family "Bacterial small subunit ribosomal RNA", at positions 15 to 236 of the family's 1533-position model. The record is from RNAcentral.
GUUCCUGGCUCAGGAUGAACGCUAGCUACAGGCUUAACACAUGCAAGUCGAGGGGAAACGACAUCGAAAGCUUGCUUUUGAUGGGCGUCGACCGGCGCACGGGUGAGUAACGCGUAUCCAACCUGCCCCACCACUUGGGGAUAACCUUGCGAAAGUAAGACUAAUACCCAAUGAUAUCUCUAGAAGACAUCUGAAAGAGAUUAAAGAUUCAUCGGUGAUGGAUGGGGAUGCGU